GAUGAACGCUGGCGGCGUGCUUAACACAUGCAAGUCGAGCGAACACAUGAGGAGCUUGCUCCUCGGACGUUAGCGGCGGACGGGUGAGUAACACGUGGAUAACCUACCUAUAAGACUGGGAUAACUUCGGGAAACCGGAGCCAAUACCGGACAAUAUAUUGAACCGCAUGGUUCAAUAGUGAAAGACGGUUUUGCUGUCACUUAUAGAUGGUUCCGCGCCGCAUUAGCUAGUUGGUAAGGUAACGGCUUACCAAGGCAACGAUGCGUAGCCGACCUGAGAGGAUGAUCAGCCACACUGGAACUGAGACACGGUCCAGACUCCUACGGGAGGCAGCAGUGGGGAAUCUUCGGCAAUGGGGGAAAGCCUGACGGAGCCACGCCGCGUGAGUGAAGAAGGUCUUCGGGUCGUAAAGCUCUGUUAUUAGGAAAGAACAAGUGUGUAAGUAACUAUGCACGUCUUGACGGUACCUAAUCAGGAAGCCACGGCUAACUACGUG
RNAcentral lists this ribosomal RNA (497 nucleotides) under uncultured bacterium. RNAcentral's name for it is "partial 16S ribosomal RNA". It matches the Rfam family "Bacterial small subunit ribosomal RNA", at positions 28 to 507 of the family's 1533-position model. The record is from RNAcentral.